AACGAACGCUGGCGGCAUGCCUAACACAUGCAAGUCGAACGAGACCUUCGGGUCUAGUGGCGCACGGGUGCGUAACGCGUGGGAACCUGCCCUUAGGUUCGGAAUAACUCUUCGAAAGGGGUGCUAAUACCGGAUAAUGUCUUCGGACCAAAGAUUUAUCGCCCUUGGAUGGGCCCGCGUUGGAUUAGCUAGUUGGUAGGGUAAAAGCCUACCAAGGCGACGAUCCAUAGCUGGUCUGAGAGGAUGAUCAGCCACACUGGGACUGAGACACGGCCCAGACUCCUACGGGAGGCAGCAGUGGGGAAUAUUGGACAAUGGGCGAAAGCCUGAUCCAGCAAUGCCGCGUGAGUGAUGAAGGCCUUAGGGUUGUAAAGCUCUUUUACCCGGGAUGAUAAUGACAGUACCGGGAGAAUAAGCUCCGGCUAACUCCGUG
Molecule: ribosomal RNA, 433 nt
Filed under: uncultured bacterium
Lineage: Bacteria
Description: partial 16S ribosomal RNA
Rfam family: Bacterial small subunit ribosomal RNA
Source: RNAcentral